Molecule: long non-coding RNA, 309 nt
Filed under: Nicotiana benthamiana
Lineage: Eukaryota; Viridiplantae; Streptophyta; Magnoliopsida; Solanales; Solanaceae
Description: long non-coding RNA (NBEN_LNC041089)
Source: RNAcentral
GCACACAGGACAGGGAAGAAGCAUAUGGCUCGGACAGGGAAGAAGCAUAUGGCUCGGCUCCAGGAACUCCAAAAGAUGUCGAAAAAACUGAAGUGGCUGAUGAUGUGGGUGCAACUGUCAAUAGAAUUAACCACAAGGAACAAGAAUAAGCGUUCACCACAGGGGAUAACUGAGUUAAGUCAUGUUCAGAGAAUAAUGCAUAAAUUAUGAUGUAACUUGUACAUUGGCAUGUCUUCUUUUAAUUUUUUUUCCAUUGGGGGAAGGAAGACUAAGAAAGAUAUGCCAUUUUGGUCAAUAAAUAUGCUNNNN